This 7041-nucleotide long non-coding RNA is filed under the name Marmota monax (woodchuck). The record is from RNAcentral. Lineage: Eukaryota; Metazoa; Chordata; Mammalia; Rodentia; Sciuridae.
GGCUUUUUGGUUUUUGUUUUGUCGGUGGUGUGCAUCCUACCUAGGGCUCCAUGCAGGCUGGGGCAAGUGCUCUGGAAAUUGUAUGGUAUAUUUUAGGUUUUAAUAUUUUAAAAUGAGAACUUUCUUUGACUUUAUUUGUAUCUUCAUACACCCUGACAUUCUCCACAAGACAUUCUAAUGCUGCUUAUAAAAUCAACACUCAAUGAAGCAAUAAUUGAAUGUAAAAAUUGAACAACAACAACAAAAAAAAGACAAUCGUGGCAGCUUUCAAGAUUGAUAUAAUUGCUGCAUUAAGCCUCAGUUUAGACUGAGUGUAAUGGCAGCCACGGCAUGGGGCAGGUGAGGUCGAUUAAGUCCUUUCAACUUAUUGGAAAGGAGAAAGCACAAGUUUCCCAGUGUUGAUGCAUGGAAUACCAACACUGAAUUUUAAAGAAGUUUGUAUAGUGAUCUUCAGUGAUGCAGUGGCCAAGGACAUCCAAAAAGAGCUUUCGAGAGCUACUUUUCAGCAAGUAUAGACUAUACAUGCUAGUUUUCUGUAGUCACCUCUGGUAAGAGUGAUCAUGUACCAUUAAAAUGCAGGUCUGGGAAAGGGAGUCUGCAAGGACAUAGUUUAAAUGGCCCAACCAGAUCCAGGAAUAGACCCAGAGUUUCCAGAGGUGUGGAUUUUCCUUUCAUAUUGUAAGCUUUCUCAACAAAGCUUUUGUGAAAGAUAGUUGAGAUAUGGUUGCACCCUGUGGAAACUUACUGGGGGUUAGAUGCUUUUAUGGUUGCUGGUUGAGGGUGAAUUUAUAUACUUUAGAAACCAGAAGAACAGAUGUCUAAGUUGCUAUUUUGUUUUGGAAAUGAAAGCACCCAAUGAAGACAUUCAUUUGUACUGAAGGUGAACUUUUCUCCAUAGGCUUUUAGAGGAUCUACAACGAAAACUAGAUUCUCCUUACUGAAGCAGUUUUAAAUUUCUUUUAGCCUACAAGCUAGUACUUCAUUAAUUUUACAAAAUAAAUACUAUGAAAGAUGGCUAAAAUUCAAAGCGGAUAGUAUCAUCAUUUGAUUGCCUAUUCAAGGCUUCAGUAAAGCCUCAGUAAUGCAGACAGCAAUGCAUUACAUCAUGCAUUUAUCAUACUUUUGUAUUAUAUUAUCCUUCAUGUACAAAGCAUAGCAUGGAUUUCUAGUUGUAAUGUCAAAAGUUGGACAUAGCUAAGUGUACUCAUAUGGAAUAGCUACGUUGCGUUAAUACAGCCAGUUGAAUAUUUGAGAGAAUGUUUGCCGCUCUUGGUUUACUUCUGUCUUGUGAUGCCAUGCUUUCUUAAAAAGAAUUAGGCAUUGGGACUUCUUGGGCCAUUUCUCAUUCAGAAAAUAAAACAUCACCUAGCAGGAAGAAAUAUUUCAUUGUAUUUUUUUUAAUUCUGGGGGAAUAUAUGUCAUAAAUAUGUCAUUACUUAGUUUUUUUCCAUGUCAGUAGGUACAAGUAGUCAAGAUUCUUCCUUAAGGAGACCUGAUGAGGAUGACAUGGCUUUCUUUGAAAGGCGAUAUCAGGAAAGGGUAGGUUUUUAAGGAAAUUCACUGGUAUUAAGCAUUUACUUGUAACAAAUACACUAUAGAAUGAUUAUACUUUGAAUGUGGAAUAUAAAAAAAAAUAAUUUGCAAAGUCUUUACUUAUAGUUGGUGUUAGGCCUGGAGGUUUACAUAGAAUAAUUCAGAAAGAAGCAGGACAAAUGAAUAAUGUGAUAUAUUCUACGAUUGAUUUAUAGAGGUCAUAAACAUUGAUUAAAUAUACAAAUAAAAUAACAAUAUCAACUGUCAGCAUAUUUGUAAAUUAUAUGGACUCUCCUCUUCCCUGCUGCUGGGAAUUGAGCCCGGGGCCUCACUCAUGCGAGGCAAGUUUUGUACCUUUGAGCUACAACCCCAUCCUCUAUGUGUAUCUGGAAUUUGUGUUUUUUUAAGUACAAGGUCUAUUUAUUUUUUAAUUUAAAGUAUGCAACUGUCAGGGAGAGGGGAUAGAGAAAGGUUGGUUAACAGGUACAGGGGUGUAGUUGGGUAGAAGGAAUAACUUCCAAUAUUCUGUAACAUAGGAGGAUUCCUAUGGUUGACAACAAUAAAAUGUACAUUUCAACAUAGCAAGUAGGAUUUUUGAAUGUUCUCAACACCUAGAAAAAAUAAAUGUUAAAGGUGAUAGAUAUGCCAGUUACCCUGAUGUCAUUACACUUAUGUAUAGGUAGUAAAAUAUCACACUUUGCCUCAUGAAUAUAUACAAUUAUGUGCUCAUUAGAAAUAAAAUAUAUGUAUCAUAAAAAAUUAUAAAUUAUCUGGGGCUGGGGUUGUGGCUCAAGUGUUAACGCACUUUCCUGGCAUGCGCAGGGCGCUGGGUUCGAUCCUCAGCACCACAUAAGAUGUUUUGUCUACCGAAAACUGAAAAAUAAAUAUUAAAAAAUUUUCUCUCUCUCUCUCUCUCUCUCUCUCUCUCUCAAAAAUGAUAAAUUAUCAAAUGAAGAUUGAAUAAAUUGAAUUCUUAAUCUGUACUAUUUUUUUUAGUGUUUUUUUGGGGGGUUUCAAGUUAAAAUUACCUGAUAGCUUUAAAAAAAGAGAGAUCACUAAACAAAGGUCUUAACAAUUGCUAGGACCCAAGCAGUGUGGUGUGAUGUGUUCCCACUUUCAGUGAUGGCCAGUUUCAUCACUUCUCCCCAGAGCGUGAAGGCCUGGAGAAGAAACAUAGUGUUUUGUUCAUCCUUGUAUUUUUCCUAGUGCUUAGUGUACUGCCUUAUAUGUACCAAGUUUUGCAUAAGUAAUUAUUUAUGGAAAAUAAAAAAAAUUAACACAUAAUUGACAUUUGCCUUCAUGGAUGUCAACUACAAAGACCUUUUUUAUACUUCCAAAAGUUUCAUAGCAGGGCUGGGGAUGUGGCUCAAGUGGUAGCGUGCUCACCUGGCAUGCGUGCGGCCCGGGUUCGAUCCUCAGCACCACAUACAAACAAAGAUGUGUCUGCCGAAAACUAAAAAAUAAAUAUUAAAAUUCUCUCUCUCUCUCUCUCUCUCUCUCUCUCUCUUUAAAAAAAAAAGUUUCAUAGCAGUGUUCAUAUUUGAGAAAUAUGACUUUGGUUUUUGUUAGAUGAAAGUCUGUUGGCUUAAGGCACUAUGAGGGAUGGUAUUUCAGCUGUAUGACAGAAACUGCUUCCUUUAGGACUGUUUACUUGUUAGGGUAUUAUUAUCUCUCCAGCUAAGUAGCAAACCCCACAAAAGUAAAGACUCCUGCCUCCAUUUUUUUCUUUGUGGUGCUGAGGAUCAAACCCAGGACCUCAUGCAUGCUAGGUAAGCAUCUGCCACAGAACUACACUCCCAGGCCUCCAUUCACUUUUUGUUAUGUUUUCUUAGACAAGAGCUCAUUGAAUAACCUAAGAUAUGAAAAAAGAAUACUAAAUAAAUUUACCAUCCAAGAGCAAAGGAAAUGAGUAAGAGAUAUAUUAGCUUGGCUUUCCUGAUGAAGACUUUUGAAACAAAUGGGGAGAGUCCUGAUCAGUGUUUAAGGCUUAACUGGACAGUAGAACUUUUUCGAGAUGGAACUAUCUGUGCUAUAGCCAUUUACCAUAAGUGCCUCCAUGAGUCUAAAUUUAAAUGACUUAAAAUUUGAAAUGAAUUACUUCAGUCACACUACCCACAUUUCAAGUGCUUAGAAGCCACAUGUGGCUUGCGGAUGCCUUUUUUUGUAGCCCCAUUGAGGUUAGGGCUUAUAAUGAAACUGAUCUUCAUUCUUGGAACACACAGAUAUUAAACAUUUCUACUUUCCUGAAAAUUCUUUUGGAAAGCUCUGGCUUAAGUUUGUCUCAGUUUGUUGGGACUGCUGAAACAAAAUUCCUAAACUGGGUGGUUUGUAUACAAUUUUAUUUCUCAGUUUUGGAGGUUGGGUGUCUUAGAUCUAGGUGUGCAAUUACAGUGUCUGGUGAGGGCUGCCUUCUGAUCUACAGAUGGACCUUCUCAUUAUGCCCUCACGUGGUAGACAAGGCAAGGCAGCUCUCUGGGGCCUCCUUCACAGGGCACUAGUCCCAUGCACAAGGUGCCAGCUCUCAUAACCUAAUCCUUGCCUGUAGGUCCCACUUCCAAAGUUUCAGCAUAUGAAUUUGGGGGUGGAGGUCAGAAACUUUUAGACCAUAACAAAGAGAAAAGAGGUAGUAGGAGGACAUCAGGGAGGGAGAUGAAAUGUCCAGAGUGAUUUUUUUAAAAAAAUACUUUUUUUGUAGCCCCAUUGAGGUUAGGGCUUAUAAUGAAACUGAUCUUCAUUCUUGGAACACACACAUUCACAGAUUGAUUUUAAUUGUUCUGGGUUCUAGAACUCUGUGUCCUCCAGAGGCCUGGGUAGUGUGACAGUGUUGAAGACAUGCCAGUGUAUUUGCUUGUGGGAAGAUAAUGAAAGGAGUUCUUAUUUAUGAAUGUUUUAAAGGAUAUUCCAGGCCCAUCCAGAGUGCAGUAAACCUGGAGUGUCUGGAUUUAUGAGAUAUAGUUCAUAACUCUCCAGCCUGUGUGAUUUAUGGCUUUAUGAGACAACUUAUAACCUGUCUAGCCUGUAUGAUUUUUUUAUUAUUAUUAAUUGUUCAAAACAUUACAAAGCUCUUGACAUAUCAUAUUUCAUACAUUUGAUUCAAGCAGAUUAUGAACUCCCAUUUUUACCCCGUAUACAUAUUGCAGAUUCACAUCGGUUACACAUCCACUUUUUUACAUACUGCCAUACUAGUGUAUGUUGUAUUCUGCUGCCCUUCCUAUCCUCUACUAUCCCCCCUCCCCUUAGCCUGUAUGAUUAAUGGUGUUCGAAUCUAAGAAAGCCCAACAGGAAUGAUUUCCUCUGAGUUGACAUGUAUCUCACACAUCAGUAGUCCUUGUCUUUUACUCCAGAACUGUUGAGAGGAAAGGGACAAUUAGCAAACUGUAUCUCUUGGUUCAGGAUCCCUCUCAAGAGCAGUGCUAUGUGGGUAUCUGGGUUUUGCUUCUAUCCUUUGCCAAUCACUGGUAACAUUUGGUGUGGGAAGAAUCUUAUAAUAAAAGUAAGUUGGUUUGGACAGUUGAAGCCUUGGUGGUAACAUGGUUUACCAGCUACUUUCAGAGGUUAUUGAGAAGUUGCUUCUUUUAUAUAUCAGGUCAGAUUAUUUUCUUCUGUUGUGAUGAUGAUGCUUCUCUUUUCCCCAAGAAAGGAGAAUUUUAAUAAGGAAAUAAGUUUCAAAGAUCUGCUAGGUGCAAGGCACUUUAUGCAGGAAAUAAAUUUUUUAAACUUUUUUUUAUAACUUUAUCUUACUUAUUUAUUUAUAUAUGAUGCUGAGGAUCAAACCCAGUGCCUCACCAGUGCUAGGCAAGCACUCUACCACUGAACUACAUCCCCAGGCCCAGGAAAUAAAUUUUAAAAGAAAGGGAAAAGUAGCAGAAGGAGGUAAUUAGGACUCAAGAUGGAUGUAUUAAGUACUAUUUUAAGUGAGCAAACACUGCUUUUGUUUGUUGUUUUGCAUUUUUGCUGCACUUUAAAAAAAAAGAGUUAAUAUAAUUGGGCAUGGUGGAACACACCUGUAAGCCACUCAGGAGUCUGAGGCAGGAAGAUUGGAAAUUCCAGGUCAACCUCAGCAACUGAGUGAGCCUUGUCUCUAAAAUAAAAAUAAAUAAAUAAAAAUGCCUGGGGAUGUGGCUCAGUGAAUAAAGUGACCCUGGGUUCCAUUUUCAGAAGUUGUUCCUAGCAAGUGUUACUGCAAAUCUAACAUUUGGCUUUAAAUGAGAGGAGACAGGGGAGCAGCAAUUGUUGAGUACUUAUUGAGUAUCCAGAUCUUUAUCUAUAUAAUCUUACUUAUGCCUUCAGAACAAGCUUGAGACGUAGCUAUUAUUACUAUGCCUUUUUUUUUAAACAAAUGAGAAACUAUUGGUUAAAUUACUUGCCCCAAAUCUUUAAUAAAUGGAAGAGAUAGAAUUCAAAUGCUCUUCUUUUCACCUCCAAAACCUGUAAUCUUUGCAUUAGAGUAGGGUGUCCUUUGGAGGUCCUUCAGAUGACCUGUUGACUGAUAACAGUGUGUGACAGUGACAUGAAUGCAUGGUUCCUGAAUGAGGUUUGUUUCACAGAGGAGAGAGAAAAUAAUGAGGGAGAAGUACAGGUUAGAUUUAUUACUUUUAUUAUUGGGAAUUUGUUGCUUUGAUUUGAUGGGAUUGGAUAGACUGGUUUUACCAGGUUCCUCCUGGUUUCUUCACACUAUCUCUCCCAGGUUGGAAGCUAGGAAGCCUUGUCUCCACCUGCCAUGCCCUUUAUUUUCUGUCCCCUUCUUUGGCCUAUGAAAAUUGGGGUGUGUGAAUAUGAGUGGGGGUAAGAAGCAGGUGGGCGUGUGUUCUGCUUUGUGUUCUUUAAUCCCAUGGGAAGGGUUUACAUGUGUCUGAAAUGUUAGAAGGCCACCACUUUGGGAAUGUAUGUGGCUGCUUUGCUUGAACUCCAGUGGAGGAGGACAAGGCCUUUGGGAAGAACACUGUGGGAAUAUAGACACCAGAAUUACAGGGAAGCAUCCUUAAAGGAGUCCAGGUGUCAGAGACAGUCUGGCUGGCUUAGGUGCAUUCUGUAACUGUAGGCAAUGUGCACAGGCUGGAUGUAUAGUUAGGCUUUUAAGUAUUAAAAAAAUUUCUUUAAUAGCAGUUCAAAUUAAUUGAUCCUCUCUUCUAAAGCAAUAUUUAUUUAUAUAUUAUUUUUAUUAAAAUGCUUCUGUAAAGUUAAAAUCACAGCACUUAAAAACAGGCAAUCAUGUCUCUUUAAGGAUCGGAUUUUGGCUUUAGUAUAUGGCAGCUUAUUAACUGUGUGGCAUGGUUGUGAUAAAUAAGGCCUGAAUCCAAAUGAGGUAUGUGCAGUCUUUUGUUCCUUAGAAUGGUCUACUACUUAGUAAAUAAAUCAAUGUUUUAAAUUUACAGGUAAAAAUGGAAAAGGCAGCUAAGAUGAAAGGACAAUCUCCGUUGCCAUCAACUACAAAACCUUCGUGAAGGCUGUUGGACAGCUUAAAACCAUCAUGCAAAUAUGUCUUUCUGCUCAUUUAAAUGUAAUAAU